CUGCAGCCCGGCUUGAGCGGAAAUCCUUUUUUGCAUUGGAAAAGCCCUGGCAAAAAAGAUUGGGAGCGGAAGACGGAUAAAGC
This 83-nucleotide small RNA is filed under the name Chryseobacterium arachidis. RNAcentral describes it as "Flavo-1 RNA". The record is from RNAcentral. Lineage: Bacteria; Pseudomonadati; Bacteroidota; Flavobacteriia; Flavobacteriales; Weeksellaceae.